Perca flavescens (yellow perch) is the source of this 423-nucleotide long non-coding RNA. RefSeq lists it as uncharacterized. NCBI's taxonomy places the organism in Eukaryota, Metazoa, Chordata, Actinopteri, Perciformes, Percidae. The record is from RefSeq and is a predicted model, not a curated record. The transcript has 3 exons.
AGAGACACAUGUACGGCUUCAAAUUAAGAUUAUGCACGGUUCAAGAGGCGCACACGUUUUCACGGUGUCUUACGAUAAAACGUGGAAAUAAAUGAACAAGGACAUCUGUAUGAUGCGUGGCCUUACUCAAUUGGACCAGUGUAUUUACAGCCAAGCCAGAAACUAACCCUGAAGAGACCAAAGACUAAAGUGUUGUUAAAGUAUCAAACAGCAACUUACAGUUUCUUCAAACAGUCCAAAGAGUUGAUGAAGAAGAGUUGAUGAAGAAGAGUUGAUGAAGAAGAGGGUUUCUCUCCACCUGCAGAGAAAUCUCUGACACAGGUGAGCUGUUUCCUGGAAUGAGUCACAGCUCCACCUGUCAGGAAGCAGGCAGGAAGGGCUGCAACAGGAGCAGAUUUUCACAAUAAAAGGAAAUUUGGACUA